GAUGAACGCUGGCGGCGUGCCUAACACAUGCAAGUCGAACGGAAAGGCCCUGCUCUUGUGCGGUGCUCGAGUGCCGAACGCGUGAGUAACACGUGAGUAAUCUGCCCUUGACUUUGGGAUAACUUCAGGAAACUGGGGCUAAUACAGGAUAGGAGCUCCUGCUCCAUGGUGGGCGAUGGAAAGUUACGGCUGUUGGGGAUGGACUCGCGGCUUAUGAGCUUGAUGGUGGGGUAGUGGCUUACGAAGCGUGUGACGGAUAGCCGGCCUGAGAGGGUGACCGGGGACAUUAGUACUAAGAGAGGGCGCAGUCGGGUACGGGAGGCAACAGUCGGGAGUAUUGCACAACGGGGGGACGUGUGUUGUGGAGGCGCCGCGUGCGGAAUGACGGCUUUCGGGUUGAGAACCGCUGUGGCCUGAGACGAAGCGGUAGUGACGGUAAUGAAUAAAGAAGCACCGGCUAACUACGUG
Molecule: ribosomal RNA, 468 nt
Filed under: uncultured bacterium
Lineage: Bacteria
Description: partial 16S ribosomal RNA
Rfam family: Bacterial small subunit ribosomal RNA
Source: RNAcentral